Molecule: ribosomal RNA, 253 nt
Filed under: uncultured bacterium
Lineage: Bacteria
Description: partial 16S ribosomal RNA
Rfam family: Bacterial small subunit ribosomal RNA
Source: RNAcentral
UACGUAGGGUGCAAGCGUUGUCCGGAAUUAUUGGGCGUAAAGAGCUCGUAGGCGGUCUGUCGCGUCGGAUGUGAAAACCCAGGGCUCAACCCUGGGCCUGCAUUCGAUACGGGCAGACUAGAGUUCGGUAGGGGAGACUGGAAUUCCUGGUGUAGCGGUGAAAUGCGCAGAUAUCAGGAAGAACACCCGUGGCUAAGGCGGUUCUCUAGUACGGUACUGACGCUGAGACGCGAAAGCGUGGGGAGCGAACAGG